CGAGAUGAAGGAGAUACACCACUCCCGGACACGUGUAGAAAUUUAUUUGGCCCAUCAGAAGUAGAUAUCACCAGUCCUAGUGAACUGCAGCAUGUUCGACAGAGCUCGAUUUUUAACAAUAGUGGAACCCGGCCCCGGGAAACAGUGAUCGGAAGUCAAGAAAGUAUACAGUUUGGGUUGGAUGGAUCACAACCGGUGGAGCAUGGGUUGGAUGGAUCACAACCGGUGGAGCAUGGGUUCGAUGGAUCACAACCUGAGAAUCAUGGAUUGGAUAGAUCACAACUGGAUUAAUUGAUAUGAGCAAAUGACCAUUUUUGUGUAAGAGUGUGUAAAUGUAGAAUUAGUAAAUGUUAUUAGAGAAAAGUGUUGGGAUAUGGUGCUAAUGGUAGAAGAAUUAGUGAAUGUUCCAGGAGUGUUCAAGUCAAUGUUCCAGGAGUAGU
Juglans regia (Persian walnut) is the source of this 440-nucleotide long non-coding RNA. RefSeq lists it as uncharacterized. The record is from RefSeq and is a predicted model, not a curated record. The transcript has 3 exons. NCBI's taxonomy places the organism in Eukaryota, Viridiplantae, Streptophyta, Magnoliopsida, Fagales, Juglandaceae.